This 253-nucleotide ribosomal RNA is filed under the name uncultured bacterium. RNAcentral describes it as "partial 16S ribosomal RNA". It matches the Rfam family "Bacterial small subunit ribosomal RNA", at positions 524 to 776 of the family's 1533-position model. The record is from RNAcentral.
UACGGGGGGGGCAAGCGUUGUUCGGAAUUACUGGGCGUAAAGGGCUCGUAGGCGGUCUGUUGCGUCGGGAGUGAAAACUCAGGGCUUAACCCUGAGCCUGCUUCCGAUACGGGCAGACUAGAGGUAUGCAGGGGAGAACGGAAUUCCUGGUGUAGCGGUGAAAUGCGCAGAUAUCAGGAGGAACACCGGUGGCGAAGGCGGAUCUCUGGGCCGUAACUGACGCUGAGGAGCGAAAGCAUGGGGAGCGAACAGG